RNAcentral lists this long non-coding RNA (1433 nucleotides) under Gadus morhua (Atlantic cod). RNAcentral's name for it is "lncRNA (ENSGMOG00000036318.1)". Lineage: Eukaryota; Metazoa; Chordata; Actinopteri; Gadiformes; Gadidae. The record is from RNAcentral.
CAUCUCUAGGCUCAUGAUGAUAACAGGUGUCAGGGUGUGGGUGUCUCCCUGUGUUUCCCUCCUGUGUUGAUUACUGUUCCCUCCCCUAAUGUGUCUCAGCUGUUCCUCGUUGUGUUUGUUAUUUAGGCCCUCGUCUUUCCUUUGUUCGGGGUGCUGUCAUUGUGGUUUGCUGUGGUUAGUGUUGGUUGUUAGUCCUGCGUGUUCCGUGUUCCCUCUCGAGUUCCCUGUUUUCUCCCGAGUUCCCUGAUUCCUGUGCCUUAGGCUUUAGGUUUGAUUAAAGUGCCGUUUCCCUCAAUACCAUCUGCGUUUGGGUCCUACCUGCCUGCUUGCACCUCCAGCUCUCUUAACAGAAUGACAGCACCCCUAUUGGACCCAGCGGACGCUCAAUUUAGCCAGUGGUACCGGCCUCGUCGCCUGCUUGAGGUGGUCCGUCCUCCGCUCCUGCCUGAGGGGGCCCGCCCCCUGCUCCUUCCAGAGGGGUACCGGUCUUCGCUCCUGCCUGAGGGGUUCUGCCCCCUGCUCCUUCCAGAGGAGGACCGGCCACUGCUUCCACCGGAGGGGGUCCGCCCUCCAGACCGUCCAGGGGAGGCACGCCCUCUACCUGGCCUUCCACCAGAGGGGACCCGCCCUCUACCCUGUCCACCAGAGGGGACCCGCCCCCUACCUGGCCUUCCACCAGAGGGGACCCGCCCUCUGCCUGGCCUUCCACCAGAGGGGACCCGCCCUCUACCCUGUCCACCAGAGGGGACCCGCCCCCUACCUGGCCUUCCACCAGAGGGGACCCGCCCUCUGCCUGGCCCUCCUCCUGAGGGGACCCGCCCUCUGCCUGGCCCUCCUCCUGAGGGGACCCGCCCUCUGCCUGGCCUGCCUCCUGAGGGGACCCGCCCUCUACCUGGCCUUCCUCUUGAGGGGACCCGCCCUCUACCUCGCCUUCGCCGGCCUCCUGAAGGGUUCCGCCUUCACCGCUGCCGGCCUUCUGAGGGGGUUCUGUGCCACUGCAGGUCUCCUGAGGGACUGAGCCCUCAUCGUCCUUGCACCCGGCCUCCUGAAGGGUUCCGCCUUCACUCUGCCUCUGCUUGCCCCCCAGGCCGUCCGCCUGAGGCUCCCUGCCAUGCCCUGGGGCAGUUUUCUGGCCGCCCGCCUGACGUCCCUCGGCUCUGCCGCAGUCCAUUUUUUUUGAUUCCCCCCUCCUGGCGCCCCUCCACCCACCCGUUUUGGGUUUGACUUUCUUUGUUUUUUGCUUGUCGUGGGUCGCCUGGGAGUCGACCCUUAAGGGGGGGGUACUGUCAGGGUGUGGGUGUCUCCCUGUGUUUCCCUCCUGUGUUGAUUACUGUUCCCUCCCCUAAUGUGUCUCAGCUGUUCCUCGUUGUGUUUGUUAUUUAGGCCCUCGUCUUUCCUUUGUUCAGGGUGCUGUCAUUGUGGUUUGCUGUGGU